This 71-nucleotide transfer RNA is filed under the name Danio rerio (zebrafish). It matches the Rfam family "tRNA". From Rfam's summary of the family: Transfer RNA (tRNA) molecules are approximately 80 nucleotides in length. The record is from Rfam by way of RNAcentral. Lineage: Eukaryota; Metazoa; Chordata; Actinopteri; Cypriniformes; Danionidae.
GCAUUGGUGGUUUAGUGGUAGAAUUCGCACCUCCCACGCAGAGGAACAAGGUCCGAUUCCUGGCCAAUGCA